ACAGGAGCCCCAGCCCCACACAGCAACCACCCGGGCGAGAAAGAAAGAAAGAGCCAGGGAGGCGGGCGAAGCGCGGGGAGAGAAGCAGAGAAGAAAUAUUCACCUUCCCGCCUCAUGCCCACUUUGAGGCACUUCUUGAGGCGGCAGUAUUGGCACUGGUUGCGGUGGUGCUGGUCGAUGGGACAGUUCCUGUUGGCACGGCAUGUCAGGUAGAUGAAACUCAAGAGAAAAGGUGUGGAUAAAUGAAACUAGCCCAUGAUGAACCUGUUUUCUCCGUGACCACAAUAUUAACCAGGAUGAAUGGCGGUGGCAGUGGGCCUGCAUCACAGGUUGCAGCAGAUGUUCUCAAUAUUUCUAUUAAAAUUUCCUUAUUUCCAUAUGCAAGAGGAGCCCCAGAGCUGCAUCCUUAUGGUAGCUACCAUGCCGUGAUGUAAGCUGCCAUUCACUGGGGAGCUUUGGCAAUAGAAUUGGCUAGAUCAGGAAGCCUAUGUCAACUAUGGAACAACAACUUGCAGCUCAUCUCUAUUGAUGAUGGAAUCUCGCUAUGUCACCAGGCUGGAGUGCAGUGGCGCAACCUCGGCUCAGCGCAACAUCCGCCUCCCGGGUUCAAGUGAUUCUCCUACCUCAGCCUCCUGAGUAGCUGGGAUUACAGGUGAAACAGUCGCAAAUGGAAUUCCAAGAAACAUUCUAUAUACACUGCCUCUAGGACUGGGACAGAUAGCCACUGAGUACCUGCUUCAAAUCACCCUGCACGUUUUCUCUUUGGAAAGAUAAGCACUGGAGAACCAUCUCGUUACCUUCAGCAGAAAUGGAAACAAAUCAAGACAUUAAGAAUGCCGCAGUGGACAGCAGUUAUGCAAGGUUCAGCAGAGGAAGUUUUCAAGAUGGUGUGCCUCACUAGCCAGAAAUCAGAAAAGAUCGAAGCUAGCCUUUUCAUCUCAGCUGCUCCUUAAAUCAGUGCAACCCCUCCAAAUUAAUGUGAAUUGAAACUUGCAUUGCUUUUCAACUUAAUUGAAUACUUACUAUAUGUGAACCACUGCACAAAAUAGGGGAAGAAGAUGUGGGAGACAAAGAUGUGGAGCCUGUCUUCAAUAAAUUUACAGUUAGUUUCAGGGUACAUUGUUUUUCUUCUGCUGUUAAUUAGGUGUAUCCCCAAGACAAUAAAUACAUGAAUGGAAAAGUAUAUUCUGUGUUUUAAGUCUCUUUAAUAAAAAACAAAACAAAAUCCAAAAAAACUCCUAACAUGGCAACUCAGGACAUUUUAAUCCUUUUUUUUGUUGUUGGGCUUCUGAUAGGAUCCAUUUUAUUGAUUCCAUAAAUAUUUAGUAGACUUUAGACAUAUUAAUACAUUGUAGUUUGAGUUAAUUUGCAUUAAAUUCUGUUUUUUUCCCCUUAGGUAUAGAUUGUCUGUUGGAAAAAUAUAUUGCUUGUGGAUUUCUUGGGGAGUGGGAAGGUGAAUUAUACCUGUUGUCUCUACAGUCCACUACCUUCCACACCCUAGGGCAGUGGUCCCCAACCUUCUUGGCACCAGGGAUCAGUUUCCUGGAAGACAAUUUUUCUGUGGAUGGUGUGGGGAUGGUUUUGGGAUGGAACUGUUCCACCUCAGAUCAUCAGGCAUUAGUUAGGCUCUCAUAACGAGUGCGCAGCCUAGAUCCCUCACAUGCACAGUUCACAGUAGGGUUUGCGCUGCUAUGAGAAUCUAAGGCUGCCACUGAUCUGACAGGAGGCAGAACUCAGGUGGCAAUGCUUACUGGCCCACUGCUCACCUCUUGCUGUGCGGCCUGGUUCCUAAUAGGCCAUGGACCCCCACAGACGGGUACUAGUCUGCAGCCUGUGGACCCCAGCCCUAGGGGCCUGCCAUUCUGAGUGAGUUAUUAGCAUGAAGAAGAGGAAGAUCUGGAUCAAACGUGGGUGAUGGUACUCAGAGACCCAAGAUAGGAUAGGGAUGGAACAAAAUCCAUCUGGGCAACGGCUCUAUGAAAAUUUGGCUAAGUAAUUAUUUCAGUAUUCAUUGUAUUCAUUGUCCUUCGUGUUCCAUAAGUUAAAUGACUGUCUAAUUUUUCCAAAAAUUUAUUUCUGACUUGAGAAUAAGUGUGUCAUGAUUUUCCCAGUGUAAAGACACUGAUAUAACUGUAGAUACCAGACAUUUUAUGUAGUGUCUAUGACACAUUUUAGUAUGUAUGAGCCAACAAUAGACAUGUCUUUGUCUUGAGGAGUGUCCAUCUGAAUUGAAAAUGUGUCAGCUUUUUUUUAACAUCAUCAACAGACUUCUUAAUUAAGCUGCCAAUACAUACUGCCAAUAGCACUGUGUGCUGUCUGAGAAAUGCAUUGUGUAAGUGCUAUUUCCAUCUUAUUAAAUAAACAAUGUUGCUCUGUAUAAACUGGAUUUAAAGUGUUCUUUGAAUGAGGCAUUAUAUUGCUCCAUAAAUAAUGUGAUGUGAAUUCUCAUAUGAUCCCUUUUAACUUAAUUUCUAAAAAAAUAUUAUUUGCUCCUCAGUAAGGAAUAGCUCUAAUUGGACUGGUAACUUUAGUGAUAUGAUUUGUCUGUAACAGGCUGAAUCGCCCCACUCCCAAACUCCUGGUCGUGAUACUGGAUAUUUGUUAUGCCACUUUUAGUUUGCAUGAGGUAUCUUCCAGGAAGUAUUAGUUAUUAACUUGUGUUCUACUAAACUGUAGAUAUUUAUUUCCUGUUCUGGAAGAUUUCUUGGAGUGUCCAUCUGUGCAUUCCUGGUGCCUAGUGUAGUCUUGCUAAUGGAAUAGCACCUUUAUUGGUGCUACUUAGGGGUUGGUAGCUUACAAUCAAUCUACUUGGAACGUAUCCAAAUAAACUGGAUAUUUUUAUACA
RNAcentral lists this long non-coding RNA (2845 nucleotides) under Homo sapiens (human). Its description in RNAcentral is "NR2F1 regulatory antisense RNA 1, transcript variant 43 (NR2F1-AS1)". Lineage: Eukaryota; Metazoa; Chordata; Mammalia; Primates; Hominidae. The record is from RNAcentral.